UAGGGAAUCUUCGGCAAUGGGGGCAACCCUGACCGAGCAACGCCGCGUGAGUGAAGAAGGUUUUCGGAUCGUAAAGCUCUGUUGUAAGAGAAGAACGUGUAUGAGAGUGGAAAGUUCACACAGUGACGGUAACUUACCAGAAAGGGACGGCUAACUACGUGCCAGCAGCCGCGGUAAUACGUAGGUCCCGAGCGUUGUCCGGAUUUAUUUGGCGUAAAGCGAGCGCAGGCGGUUUAAUAAGUCUGAAGUUAAAGGCAGUGGCUUAACCAUUGUUCGCUUUGGAAACUGUUAAACUUGAGUGCAGAAGGGGAGAGUGGAAUUCCAUGUGUAGCGGUGAAAUGCGUAGAUAUAUGGAGGAACACCGGUGGCGAAAGCGGCUCUCUGGUCUGUAACUGACGCUGAGGCUCGAAAGCGUGGGGAGCAAACAGG
Molecule: ribosomal RNA, 429 nt
Filed under: bacterium
Lineage: Bacteria
Description: partial 16S ribosomal RNA
Rfam family: Bacterial small subunit ribosomal RNA
Source: RNAcentral